GCGAACUAACGGACAGGGGCGGGUGUGAUAAGGAGGUCGCGAGGGUUGUCCGGGAUUAUUGGGCGGAAGGAGCUCGUAGGCGGUUGGUUGCGUCGGUGGUGAAAGGCCACGGCUUAAGCGGGGGUCUGCGGGUGAUACGGGCAGACUAGAGGCAGGUAGGGGAGAACGGAAUUCCCGGUGUAGCGGUGAAAUGCGCAGAUAUCGGGAGGAACACCGGUGGCGAAGGCGGUUCUCUGGGCCUGUACUGACGCUGAGGAGCGAAAGCGUGGGGAGCGAACAGGAUUAGAUACCCGUGUAGUC
RNAcentral lists this ribosomal RNA (300 nucleotides) under uncultured Aeropyrum sp. RNAcentral describes it as "partial 16S ribosomal RNA". It matches the Rfam family "Bacterial small subunit ribosomal RNA", at positions 496 to 795 of the family's 1533-position model. The record is from RNAcentral. Lineage: Archaea; Thermoproteati; Thermoproteota; Thermoprotei; Acidilobales; Acidilobaceae.